RNA transcript from Aedes albopictus (Asian tiger mosquito), 6919 nucleotides. RefSeq lists it as uncharacterized. Lineage: Eukaryota; Metazoa; Arthropoda; Insecta; Diptera; Culicidae. The transcript is spliced from 2 exons. The record is from RefSeq and is a predicted model, not a curated record.
CCACCACCGCUGGGCACAACUCUAGUGGACCUGUCGAAGAGUGACCGGACCGAGAAAUGUCAUGACGCGAUUGACACUGCAGUUUGACAUUUUGGUAAUCCAGAAGAGAAAAAACAACAAAGAAGAUAAGUCGAGAAUUACUUGCUAAAAUUUGCUGGUAAAUGAAAAGUAUUUGCUAUUGUUAAAUAAUUAAAUUGAGUGAAUUUGAACUAAAAGUAAACAAAAAGAAUUCGGAUUUGUAAGUUAAAAUAGACUAAAAUAAAAUACCUGUGAAUUAUAUACAUUUAUUGAUAUUUAGGCUCAACUAUACAAAGCUUCGGGAAUAUUUGUCAGGUCAUUGAAACCGCGUGAAGAACAUCAAUGAUGUAAGUGUUUUUUUCCGCAAUUCUACAUGAAAUUAUAUUACUAUAAAUAAAUUAUUUACAGUUUUGAGCUGUACGCUACACUACUGCUGCAAAAAGGUGUAUUUCUUCUACGUGUCCUGAACAAAUUUCUCAAAAAUCAUUGAGAUGAAGCCCGGAGAGGAGGAACAUAACCCCGAAAAGACCGGCUAUGAUUGUGCGCACUGUGAACAACCGAACCAUGCAGAUGAUAACAUGGUGCUCUGCGAAAAAUGCCAAAAAUGGUUUCAUUUCAUGUGCGCCGGCGUGACGUCCGACAUUAAGAAGGUUCCUUGGUCGUGCGUUAGUUGCAAAAAAGCUGCCACAACAACAAACAACACUCGCAGUCAAGCCGAAGGUGGCACAGUUCUGGAAGUCUCCGAUUCGAUGGAAAAGGACGAACAGGAGAAGAGUGACCCAAGGACGUCGGCGGACGAGGACGAUGAAGAAGAACGGCAACACCAGAAGGAACUGAGAAUGAUGAAAGAUCGUUUCGAGCGUCAAUUCCAAAGGGAAAAGGAGAAGAUGAUGAUGCAGAUUCGUUUGGAACGAGAAAUGCUGGAGAGAAAGAAAGCGGUAGAAGCGGAACUAAACAAGAUGCGGAGCGAGCUGUAUGAAGAGUUCGAGUACAGCCCCGAUACCCUGGAUCAGGAAAACGGCGCCGUAGGUGGUAAACCCGUACCGAAUGAGGAGCAAUCAGAUGCGGACUUGGAGAAGAUGUGGAGGGACAAGCUAAAAUUCCCGUACGAGCAACGCAAACCCAUUGCUGACCCCCGGGGGGCUUUUCCCAAAUGUUCUACGCCCAAAGAAGUGUCAUUGCAACUGGGUACCAUCAACGACCAUCAGGGGCCACCGGAAAACGAUUCGAAGGAAAACACACCGCUGAGGAACCCGCAAAUACCAACAACGAAGGUAAACAAACCAGGUUUGCCAUCUCUACCAGUGCCUUCUUUCUGUCCACCGGCGGCUGUUCAGCCACACGCUCCAAUCCUGCGUCAAGGACUCCAACCCGUCGCAAAUACGAACUUCUCUGUAUCAGACGCGUUGCAUGACAGUCGUGGCCAGGCUCCAAUCCUUCCAGAGCAGGAGUUGACAAGAGCGCAGCUUGCAGCCCGAAAAGGUCCCUUCGCUAAGCUGCCAGUGUUCACGGGACGGCCAGAGGAAUGGCCACUGUUUAUAAGCAGUUUCAACAACGGGAAUGCAGCAUGCCACUGGACCGACCUAGAGAAUCUUGGCAGGCUUCAAGAAAGCAUCAGAGGGCCAGCACUGGAAGCCGUGAGGAGCAGACUGUUGCUGCCAGAAUCGGUCCCAAGAGUGAUCGAAACGCUUCGCCACCUGUAUGGCAGACCGGAACAACUUCUUCAUUCUUUGCUGCAGAAGGCAAGGAAAGCAGACCCUCCGCGUGCCGACCGCCUUGGCACAUUUAUCAGCUUUGGCAUGAUCGUCCAACAAUUGUGCGACCACCUGGUGGCCUCAGGAAUGGUUGAACAUCUCGUGAAUCCCAUGCUCAUUACAGAGCUUGUUGAGAAGUUGCCUCCCACCACGAAAAUGGAGUGGGUUCGGCACAAGCGUCAGCAGGCAGCAGUCGAUCUCAGCACCUUUUCGGAUUUCCUUUCCGAAAUCGUUUCGGAAGCAACGGAGGCCACACUCUAUGCAGAGCCUCGAAUCGAUAGUCGUCCAAAUCGAGACUGGAAGGAAAAAAGACCGAAGGGCAAAGAGCAUCAGGGGUUUCUGAACGCACACGUCGGCGUGGAGCAUUCGUCGCAUCAGUUGAGCGACCAGCGCAAAGGAGGAGACCAGAACGUCAAUCGUACGCCAUGCCGCGGUUGCAACAGUCUGGAGCAUCGGACCCGUGGCUGUGAGGACUUUCGUAGACUGGUCUGGAGCGACAAGGUGAAAAUAGCAGAGAAGUGGAAAAUGUGCAAAAUGUGUUUGAACGAGCACGGUGAGGCACGCUGUCGGUUUAAAGGGCACUGCAACGUCGGAGACUGCAAGGAAAGGCACCAUUCCCUUCUUCAUCCACCGAGCUCUAACACACCUCUGUCUACGAACUGCCAUGUGCACGACUCGGAGCAGCAUCCCGUCAUUUUUAGGAUGGUUCCGAUCAAACUGCACCAUGAAGGACGCACCUGCAAUGUCAUUGCCUUCUUGGACGAAGGGUCCUCGUAUUCCCUGAUGGAGAGCAACGUGGCCGAACAACUCAAGCUAAAAGGAGCUUGGGAACCGAUACUCGUGAAGUGGACAGCUGGUAUGAGUCGGCUCGAACGAAAUUCUCGCCGUGUUGACGUGUCAAUCUCGCCGAGCGGAUCCAACGAGAAACUUCUCCUACGAAAUGUCCACACCGUCCAAGAGCUCCAACUGCCGGAGCAGAAGAUUCGUUUUGCUGAGGUUGCCGCCCGUUUCAAGCACCUUAGUGGGUUACCUGUGGCUGACUGCUUGGGUGGCUCUCCAAAAAUUCUUAUUGGACUGAAACACCUACACGUGUACGCACCAUUAGAGUCACGAGUCGGCAACGCUGGAGAGCCAAUAGCGGUUCGCACGCGGCUUGGUUGGACAAUAUACGGCCCUCAAGGGAAUAACGCCACCGGAACCGGGUUUUCUGGGCAUCACACAGCUGUCGAACUAGCGGAUUUGGACCUCCAAGAACUUCUUCGAAAACAUUUCACGCUAGAGGAGUCGGGCUUACUAGUCAAGGUACUCCCAGAAUCUAAUGAAGAUCGUCGAGCGAGAAUAAUGUUGGAGCAAACAACCCAGCGCAUCGGAGACCACUUCGAGACCGGCCUUUUGUGGAAAAACGACGACCCUCAAUUGCCGGACAACUACCAAAUGGCGGUAAAGCGACUGAAGAGCCUGGAACGAAAGUUAGGAAAAAAUCCAGAACUGGCGCUGAACGUGGAGAAGCAGAUCGACGAUUAUCAGCGGAAGGGAUACGCCCACAUCGCUACUAGCAAAGAGUUGAAGGAAGCUGAACCGGGUAAGAUCUGGUACCUUCCCUUAAACGUCGUGCUCAACCCCAAAAAGCCGGGAAAAGUCCGGUUGGUCUGGGACGCUGCUGCGGCCGUGCAGGGGAGGUCGCUCAACACCGAAUUGUUAAAGGGUCCCGAUCUUCUGUCAAGCCUUCCAUCCGUCAUGUGUCCCUUCCGAGAGCGGCCUGUCGCCUUUGGCGGCGAUAUUGCUGAAAUGUACCACCAGAUACAUAUACGGGCAAGUGACAAGUCGGCACAGAGGUUUUUGUAUCGGACAAAUGUUUCUGGACCUCCAACGAUUUUUGUAAUGGAUGUUGCCACCUUCGGCUCAACCAGCUCACCGUGUUCUGCGCAGUAUAUCAAAAAUCGAAACGCUCAGGAGUACUGCGAAGAAUAUCCAGACGCAGUUGAAGCUAUUGUCGGCAAACACUAUGUCGACGACUAUUUCGACUCCACGUUCACGGUACGCGAAGCAGUCGAACGAGCAAAACAGGUCGUUUUCAUCCAUUCAAAAGCUGGAUUCCAUAUGCGAAACUGGGUGUCGAACAGCGCAGAAUUUCUCCGGCAUUUCAACGGGCAGCCGGAUAACCGCAUAAUACACUUCAACUGCGACAAGUCCAACUACACGGAGAGAGUCUUGGGUAUGUCAUGGAACACCCAGGCAGAUGUUUUCGUGUUCGCAGUUGUUAUGCAUGACGACCUGAAACCUUACCUCAUGGAAGAGAAGCUGCCAACGAAACGAAUACUACUGAGAAUCGUAAUGAGCUGCUUCGAUCCCCUCGGUCUGUGGACGUUGUUCACCGUUUUUGGGAAAAUGAUCAUCCAAGAUCUCUGGAGAAACGGGUGCUCGUGGGAUGAUGUUGUCGACGACAAUUCGGCGAAAAAAUGGUUCAAAUGGAUUGAGCUGCUGCCACGUGUUCAGGAAAUGAGGAUUCCGCGCUGCUAUUUUCUAGAUGCGAAGCCGUUCAACUAUCAGGAUUUGGAGCUUCACGUGUUUGCAGACGCGAGUGAGGAGGCCUAUGGUUGCGUUGCCUAUUUCCGUGUCCUAGUGAACGGACAACCAAGAGUAGCACUAGUAUCUGCAAAGUCGAAGGUGGCUCCACUACAGUACAUGUCCAUCCCCAGAAUGGAGCUUCUUGCCGCUGUACUUGGUGCUAGAUUAGCUGCUGCAGUCAAAGCUAACCAUUCUGUAGAAGUAAAGACUGUUAGGUUCCAUAUUGACUCCGCAACCGUACUUUCGUGGAUCCAAUCCGACCAUAGGAAGUACAAACAGUUUGUGGCGUACCGUAUAGGGGACAUUUUGAGCCUCACUAGCCCACACGAAUGGAACUGGGUCCCAACGAAAUACAACAUUGCCGAUGUGAUAACGAAGUGGGGUAAGCAUGGUCCACCGAUAGAAUCCGAUGGUGAGUGGGUACGCGGUCCUGAAAUACUACGCAGACCAAAAGAAGAGUGGAUUCAGCGUCCCCUACCAGCUCCAGGCGUUAAGGAAGAGUUGCGAGCUUAUCACUUGUUCCACGAAAUUUCGUUUUCCAAUAACUUGGUCGACACUACUCGAUUUUCGCGCCAUACUAUCCUGGUUCGAAGUACCGCUUGCGUAUUUCGAUUCAUUUCGAAUUGUCGCAAAAGGGUUAAAGGACAGCUGAUCGAAACUCUUCAAGCUACGCCAAAAUUGGAAAGGUCGAUCAAAAGGGUGUUUCUUUCGAAAAAGACUCCGCUUAAACGUGAUGAAUAUCGACUGGCUGAGAAUUAUCUGUGGCGAACGGCGCAGCAAGAAGGUUUUGCUGACGAGCGGAAGACAUUACUGAAGAAUAAGGAACUUCCUCAGGCAAAGUGGCAUUCCAUAGAACGAUCCAGUGUGCUCUACAAAUUGGCUCCUUUUCUGGAUGAAGAAGGCGUGAUUCGUAUGGAGGGCCGCUCGGCGCAUGCAGAAUUCAUCCCUUUCGAACAGCGGUUCCCAAUUGUGCUUCCAAAAGGCCACGACGUCACAUCGAAGCUCCUUUUACACUACCACGAAAAAUUUGGCCACGCAAACCGGGAGACCGUGGUGAAUGAACUACGCCAACGUUUCUACGUCCAACACGUUCGAGCAGCGGUUCUGCAGGUCAUGAAGGAUUGUGCGCGGUGUAAAAUCAUGAAAUGUCGCCCGGCAAUUCCUAGAAUGGCACCACUCCCAGUACAACGUCUGACUCCAAAGCUACGACCAUUCAGCUAUAUAGGGAUAGACUACUUUGGUCCAGUAGUUGUCACAGUUGGUCGCCGUGCAGAGAAAAGAUGGGUCUGCCUGUUUACGUGCCUCGUUACCAGAGCGAUCCACAUGGAAGUGGCUCAUAGCCUAAAUAGCCAAUCCUGCAUUAUGGCUAUUAGGAGAUUCAUCUGCAGAAGGGGUGCUCCACUUGAAAUAUUUUCAGACAAUGGCACCAACUUUUUGGCGGCAAGCAAGGAGUUAGUUCAGCAAGUUCGAAGUAUUGAACUGGAAUGUGCAGAUAUCUUCACCGAUGCGAGGACGCAAUGGAGUUUCAACCCGCCAGCAGCACCGCACAUGGGCGGGAUAUGGGAACGGUUGGUGAGAUCGGCAAAGGAGGCGUUGAAAUCUCUACAUGAAGGCGGAAGGUUAACUGACGAAAUCCUGCAUACCGUUUUGGCUGAAGCUGAGGAUAUGGUUAACUCCCGACCACUUACGUAUGUGCCUCAGGAAUCUGCAGAAUCCGAGGCGCUUACACCGAACCAUUUCCUCCGUGGGUUACCUGCAGGAGAGCGGGAGGAAGUUAGGGCGCCGACGAACUCAGCCGAAGCACUCAGAGAUAGCUACAAGCAGUCCCAGAAAUUGGCUGACGUCUUGUGGCAAAGGUGGUUGAAGGAAUAUGUGCCUACGAUCAAUCAUCGCACCAAAUGGCUGGAGGAGCAAGAUCCGGUGAAAGAAGGAGAACUGGUGUACAUAGUUGACGGAAGCAAUCGCAGAACAUGGAUAAGAGGCAUCGUGAUAAAGGUAAUACGAGGCAUUGACGGAAGAGUACGUCGGGCACUAGUGAAGACGUCGAAAGGAGUGUACCGUCGUGCAGUUGCUAAACUAGCGGUGAUGGAGCUCAGGAGUAAAUCUGAUCCUUCCUGCAAUUCCGGACCAGGUUUACGGGAGGGGGAAUUGUUACCACCACCGCUGGGCACAACUCUAGUGGACCUGUCGAAGAGUGACCGGACCGAGAAAUGUCAUGACGCGAUUGACACUGCAGUUUGACAUUUUGGUAAUCCAGAAGAGAAAAAACAACAAAGAAGAUAAGUCGAGAAUUACUUGCUAAAAUUUGCUGGUAAAUGAAAAGUAUUUGCUAUUGUUAAAUAAUUAAAUUGAGUGAAUUUGAACUAAAAGUAAACAAAAAGAAUUCGGAUUUGCUCAACUAUACAAAGCUUCGGGAAUAUUUGUCAGGUCAUUGAAACCGCGUGAAGAACAUCAAUGAUGUAAGUGUUUUUUUCCGCAAUUCUACAUGAAAUUAUAUUACUAUAAAUAAAUUAUUUACAGUUUUGAGCUGUACGCUACACUACUGCUGCAAAAAGGUGUAUUUCUUCUACGUGUCCUGA